Molecule: small nuclear RNA, 161 nt
Filed under: Erythranthe guttata (spotted monkey flower)
Lineage: Eukaryota; Viridiplantae; Streptophyta; Magnoliopsida; Lamiales; Phrymaceae
Description: Mimulus guttatus (spotted monkey flower) U1 spliceosomal RNA
Rfam family: U1 spliceosomal RNA
About the family: U1 is a small nuclear RNA (snRNA) component of the spliceosome (involved in pre-mRNA splicing). Its 5' end forms complementary base pairs with the 5' splice junction, thus defining the 5' donor site of an intron.
Source: Rfam by way of RNAcentral
UCACUUACCUGGACGAGGUCAAUAGGCGAUCAAUAAGACCUAUGGCCUAUGCUGGCAACCUCCAUUGCACCUUGGAGGGGUGCUCGCGUAAGGUCGGCCCAAGUGGUCGAGCCUGCGUCAUAAUUUGUGUUAGAGGGGGCCUGCGUUCGCGCGGCCCCCAC